Molecule: transfer-messenger RNA, 340 nt
Filed under: Wolbachia endosymbiont of Frankliniella intonsa
Lineage: Bacteria; Pseudomonadati; Pseudomonadota; Alphaproteobacteria; Rickettsiales; Anaplasmataceae
Rfam family: Alphaproteobacteria transfer-messenger RNA
About the family: Bacterial tmRNA, also known as 10Sa RNA or SsrA, is named for its dual tRNA and mRNA-like properties.
Source: RNAcentral
UAACUUGACAUUUAUUCAAUACUACUUUAUAAUGAGCAUGUGUAUUUUUUAUACACUAUGGCAAUAAAAUUACCUUGUAAUAGUUGUAUUGGACCCGAGGGCAGUACUCGGCGCCUCCACCAUAUUUUUUGAUUGAUACGGGGGCGAGUAAGGAUCGACAUGCAUAGUAAAGAUGGUAGCUUUGCUCGGUUAGAUACCACCGCUAAGAGUUCACAAUUUAGAUGCAAACGAUAACUUUGCUGCUGAAGACAAUGUUGCAUUAGCUGCUUAAUUUAGGCACUAUAACUUCAUUGCUAUAAGCACGGUUUAGGGAACGCCGGGUAACAGAAGUUCCCCCAAA